GCCUUCGUGGUGUAGUAGUCAGCACGCUAGACGUAUAACCGAGAGGUACGUGGUUCGAUUCCCGGCGAACGCG
Molecule: transfer RNA, 73 nt
Filed under: Stegodyphus mimosarum
Lineage: Eukaryota; Metazoa; Arthropoda; Arachnida; Araneae; Eresidae
Rfam family: tRNA
About the family: Transfer RNA (tRNA) molecules are approximately 80 nucleotides in length. Their secondary structure includes four short double-helical elements and three loops (D, anti-codon, and T loops). Further hydrogen bonds mediate the characteristic L-shaped molecular structure. tRNAs have two regions of fundamental functional importance: the anti-codon, which is responsible for specific mRNA codon recognition, and the 3' end, to which the tRNAs corresponding amino acid is attached (by aminoacyl-tRNA synthetases). tRNAs cope with the degeneracy of the genetic code in two manners: having more than one tRNA (with a specific anti-codon) for a particular amino acid; and 'wobble' base-pairing, i.e. permitting non-standard base-pairing at the 3rd anti-codon position.
Source: Rfam by way of RNAcentral